AGCCUGAUGCAGCCAUGCCGCGUGUGUGAAGAAGGCCUUCGGGUUGUAAAGACAGUCGUGAGGAAGGUGUGUAGUUAAUAGCUGCUUAUUUGACGUUAGCGACAGAAGAAGCACCGGCUAACUCCGUGCCAGCAGCCGCGGUAAUACGGAGGGUGCGAGCGUUAAUCGGAAUUACUGGGCGUAAAGCGCAUGCAGGUGGUUUGUUAAGUCAGAUGUGAAAGCCCGGGGCUCAACCUCGGAAUAGCAUUUGAAACUGGCAGACUAGAGUACUGUAGAGGGGGGUAGAAUUUCAGGUGUAGCGGUGAAAUGCGUAGAGAUCUGAAGGAAUACCGGUGGCGAAGGCGGCCCCCUGGACAGAUACUGACACUCAGAUGCGAAAGCGUGGGGAGCAAACAGGAUUAGAUACCCUGGUAGUCCACGCCGUAAACGAUGUCUACUUGGGUUGUGGCCUUGAGCCGUGGCUUUCGGAGCUAACGCGUUAAGUAGACCGCCUG
RNAcentral lists this ribosomal RNA (494 nucleotides) under Vibrio sp. 5U4,1 7. RNAcentral's name for it is "bacterial SSU rRNA". It matches the Rfam family "Bacterial small subunit ribosomal RNA", at positions 380 to 875 of the family's 1533-position model. Lineage: Bacteria; Pseudomonadati; Pseudomonadota; Gammaproteobacteria; Vibrionales; Vibrionaceae. The record is from RNAcentral.